UACGAAGGGAGCUAGCGUUGUUCGGAAUCACUGGGCGUAAAGCGCACGUAGGCGGAUUUGUCAGUCAGGGGUGAAAUCCCGGGGCUCAACCUCGGAACUGCCUUUGAUACAGCAAGUCUUGAGUUCGAGAGAGGUGGGUGGAAUUCCUAGUGUAGAGGUGAAAUUCGUAGAUAUUAGGAAGAACACCGGUGGCGAAGGCGGCCCACUGGCUCGAUACUGACGCUGAGGUGCAAAAGCGUGGGGAGCAAACAGG
Molecule: ribosomal RNA, 253 nt
Filed under: uncultured bacterium
Lineage: Bacteria
Description: partial 16S ribosomal RNA
Rfam family: Bacterial small subunit ribosomal RNA
Source: RNAcentral